ACCUUCUCAGGGUCACACCUGGAGAGUUUCUAGUACUCUACCAGUCUCGACUAUGGGAGGGAGAGUCAAGCAGAGGCAUAUCCAUUCCAUUCCUAGCUUAGCCAGUCGCUAGUGAGUGGAAGGCAAUCUGUUACAAGU
RNAcentral lists this small nucleolar RNA (138 nucleotides) under Ornithorhynchus anatinus (platypus). The record is from RNAcentral. Lineage: Eukaryota; Metazoa; Chordata; Mammalia; Monotremata; Ornithorhynchidae.